This 399-nucleotide ribosomal RNA is filed under the name uncultured bacterium. RNAcentral's name for it is "partial 16S ribosomal RNA". It matches the Rfam family "Bacterial small subunit ribosomal RNA", at positions 360 to 774 of the family's 1533-position model. The record is from RNAcentral.
AAUAUUGCACAAUGGAGGGAACUCUGAUGCAGCAACGCCGCGUGAGUGAAGAAGGUUUUCGGAUCGUAAAACUCUGUCAUUGGGGAAGAAUAAAUGACGGUACCCAAUGAGGAAGCCCCGGCUAACUACGUGCCAGCAGCCGCGGUAAUACGUAGGGGGCGAGCGUUGUCCGGAAUCACUGGGCGUAAAGCGCGCGUAGGCGGAUAAUUAAGUCAGAUGUGAAAACUGAGGGCUCAACCCUGAGACUGCAUCUGAAACUGGUCAUCUUGAGUGUAGAAGAGGAGAGUGGAAUUCCUAGUGUAGCGGUGAAAUGCGUAGAUAUUAGGAGGAACACCAGUGGCGAAGGCGACUCUCUGGUCUAUAACUGACGCUGAGGUGCGAAAGCGUGGGGAGCAAACA